This 253-nucleotide ribosomal RNA is filed under the name uncultured bacterium. Its description in RNAcentral is "partial 16S ribosomal RNA". It matches the Rfam family "Bacterial small subunit ribosomal RNA", at positions 524 to 776 of the family's 1533-position model. The record is from RNAcentral.
UACGGAGGGUGCAAGCGUUAAUCGGAAUUACUGGGCGUAAAGCGCACGCAGGCGGUCUGUCAAGUCGGAUGUGAAAUCCCCGGGCUCAACCUGGGAACUGCAUUCGAAACUGGCAGGCUAGAGUCUUGUAGAGGGGGGUAGAAUUCCAGGUGUAGCGGUGAAAUGCGUAGAGAUCUGGAGGAAUACCGGUGGCGAAGGCGGCCCCCUGGACAAGGACUGACGCUCAGGUGCGAAAGCGUGGGGAGCAAACAGG